AGGGUUAUAGCUCAUUGGUAGAAUGCGUGCUUAGCAUGCACAACAUCCUGGGUUCAAUUCCCAGUACCUCCA
Molecule: transfer RNA, 72 nt
Organism: Camelus ferus (Wild Bactrian camel)
Lineage: Eukaryota; Metazoa; Chordata; Mammalia; Artiodactyla; Camelidae
Rfam family: tRNA
About the family: Transfer RNA (tRNA) molecules are approximately 80 nucleotides in length. Their secondary structure includes four short double-helical elements and three loops (D, anti-codon, and T loops).
Source: Rfam